CUGAAGUACUUGGCUCUAAACUGGGCUCCCAGGAACGGCUCCCUGAACAAUACGGGAUGCCCCAGGAGCUGCCACAUUUGAGCGGCCCCUGGAACUACCAAGGUUGUGAAUACAGCCGGGUCUGGAAGCCAACAUGACCUCUGCCCUGGAACACAGGAUGAUCUACCUCCUCCACAACUGCCUCUUAACACACACCUAGUCAGCUGCAACUGGACGUAGGGAUGAUGCUGCAGGAAAGUCUCACCUCUCUGUGACAUCACUAAACAUCAGAAAACAGCCGAAAGGAAAAGAAAAUGGUCUCCACAUAACUUCGGAGUCAAAUUUCUUACAGAUAAGAGAAGAGCUGGUGUAUCUAAUUCACAUCAGAAACUCUAGCAGCAAGAAGCUCUGGGACACAAGAAUUUUAAACUCUCUAGCUGCGCAAGCACAGGGACGGCACCCUGGAAGGUAGCCUGGAGCAUCGUUCACCAGCCCACACCAUCUCACCAGGCCACUGAAGAUCAAGCAAAGCAACCAGGUACUGAAGAGAGGCUCGCAAUAAUAAUGUCACAGCCAUCAAAACAAGGGCAAGGUUACAAGGAUCAAUAAAACAAAGAAGAAACAUUUGUCUUCUAUGGCACAAAGCUGGGAAAGACUUUCAAGAAACAGCAGCCUUAGAAAUGAGCUACGAACUGCAUAACUGACGAUGUCUCCUCUCACAGGGGCAGAGGAUGCUACACAGACACACCCAGGAAGUUUAGCUCUCUGCCAUCCAGAGGCUGCGGUGCCCUCCCCGACCUGGACCCUCACAGCUCCUGGAUUCCGCCCGAGGUGCAGCCCCCCAGAUGCCACAACUGUGCUUCAGUAAGGAAACAGGCCUCUCCGGACAUUCAAGCUAAGGUUGCACAGCUACUUUGCCAGAGAGAGGAAGCUCAGGCAUCAGAAGAGGUCACCAGAAUUUGGCUGCGCGGAGACCGGGAUCCGAUCAGAUAAAACAGUUCAGGGAACUUCUUGGAACCUACGAUAAACUUACAGAAACAUGCUUUUUGGACCGCGUUAAGGACUU
Tupaia belangeri chinensis (Chinese tree shrew) is the source of this 1045-nucleotide long non-coding RNA. RefSeq lists it as uncharacterized. NCBI's taxonomy places the organism in Eukaryota, Metazoa, Chordata, Mammalia, Scandentia, Tupaiidae. The transcript has 3 exons. The record is from RefSeq and is a predicted model, not a curated record.